Molecule: small nuclear RNA, 101 nt
Organism: Ictidomys tridecemlineatus (thirteen-lined ground squirrel)
Lineage: Eukaryota; Metazoa; Chordata; Mammalia; Rodentia; Sciuridae
Source: Ensembl
GUGCAUGCUUUGACAGCACAUAAACUAAAAUUGGAACAAAACAAUUUGUACGGUCCCUAUGCAAAAAUGACAUAAAAAUGUGUGAAGCAUUCCAUAUAAAA